CCUACGGGUGGCAGCAGUGAGGAAUAUUGGUCAAUGGGCGAGAGCCUGAACCAGCCAAGUCGCGUGAAGGAUGACGGCCCUACGGGUUGUAAACUUCUUUUGUCAGGGAGCAAUUGGGUCCACGCGUGGGCUUAGCGAGAGUACCUGAAGAAAAAGCAUCGGCUAACUCCGUGCCAGCAGCCGCGGUAAUACGGAGGAUGCGAGCGUUAUUCGGAUUUAUUGGGUUUAAAGGGUGCGUAGGCGGAAUAUCAAGUCAGCGGUAAAAAUUCGGGGCUCAACCCCGUCGUGCCGUUGAAACUGAUGUUCUGGAGUGGGCGAGAAGUAUGCGGAAUGCGUGGUGUAGCGGUGAAGUGCAUAGAUAUCACGCAGAACUCCGAUUGAGAAGGCAGCAUACCGGCGCCCAACUGACGCUGAAGCACGAAAGCGUGGGUAUCGAACAGGAUUAGAUACCCGAGUAGUC
Molecule: ribosomal RNA, 460 nt
Filed under: uncultured bacterium
Lineage: Bacteria
Description: partial 16S ribosomal RNA
Rfam family: Bacterial small subunit ribosomal RNA
Source: RNAcentral